GCUAAAAAUCUAGCCCCUACCCCCCCCCCCCGUAAUUCACUUUAAUUAUGCCCACCAAUCAAAACAUUUUUACACUUUAGUAAAGGCGAUUGAAAUAUUACUAAGAGCUACACAAACAGUACCGCAAGGGAAAGAUGAAAUAAAAAUGAAAUAAAUUUUAAGCACAUAAAAGUAGAGAUUAUUUCUCGUACCUUUUGCAUCAUGGUUUAACUAGUCUAAUCAGGCAAAACGUAUUGUAGUCUGACUUCCCGAAACUAAGCGAGCUACUUCAAGGCAGCUUAUUGAGCCAACCCGUCUCUGUUGCAAUAGAGUGGGAAGACCUUAAAGUAGUGGUGAUAGACCUAACGAGCUUAGUGAUAGCUGGUUACUCAAGAAAAGGAUUUUAGUCCAACCUAAAGACCAUUUAAUGCUUUUAAAUAACAAAAUCUCUUUAGAGCAAUUCAAAUAAGGUACAGCCUAUUUGAAACAGGAUACAACCUCAUUAACAGGGUAACUAAUUACUAAACAACCAAGUAGGCCUAAAAGCAGCCACCUUUAAAAUAGCGUCAAAGCUUCAUUGUAAUUUUCAUUAAUACCAAACAUAUUUUAGAACCCUUCCUCAUUAUUGAGUACUUCUAUAUAAUUAUAGAAUUUAUUAUGUUAAAACAAGUAACAAGAAGAAGACCUUCUCUUAAAUGCAAGUAUAAAUCAAAAAGGACCAACCAAUGAUAAUCAACGUCUUUAAAUAUAAAGUAUUAACUUAUCAAGAAAAACUUACUAACUUAAACGUUAAUCUUACACAAGAGCAUUUCAAGAAAGAUUAAAAGAAAAAGAAGGAACUCGGCAAACAUUAACCUCGCCUGUUUACCAAAAACAUCGCCUCUUGACCAACUAUAAGAGGUCUAGCCUGCCCAGUGACUCUGUUCAACGGCCGCGGUAUCCUAACCGUGCGAAGGUAGCGUAAUCACUUGUUCUUUAAAUGAGGACUAGUAUGAAUGGCAUCACGAAGGUUAUACUGUCUCCUUUUUCCAAUCAGUUAAACUAAUCUCCCCGUGAAGAAGCGGGGAUAUGAAUAUAAGACGAGAAGACCCUAUGGAGCUUCAAGCUAAAUUACACUUGCUUCUAAUUUUCAUUAAGAACCUAACAAUUAUUCUAGCAUUAUGAUUUUUAGCUUUAGGUUGGGGUGACCGCGGAGCAAAACAAAACCUCCAUAUUGGACGGGAUUUAACCCCUGAGCUUUGAACUACAACUCUAUGCACCAAUAAAUUGACAUAAAUUGACCCAAUAUUUUGAUCAACGAACCAAGUUACCCUAGGGAUAACAGCGCAAUCCACUUCAAGAGCUCCUAUCGACAAGUGGGUUUACGACCUCGAUGUUGGAUCAGGGUAUCCCAGUGGUGCAGCCGCUACUAAAGGUUCGUUUGUUCAACGAUUAAAACCCU
This 1420-nucleotide ribosomal RNA is filed under the name Acris gryllus (Florida cricket frog). RNAcentral's name for it is "partial 16S ribosomal RNA". It matches the Rfam family "Bacterial large subunit ribosomal RNA", at positions 379 to 2597 of the family's 2925-position model. Lineage: Eukaryota; Metazoa; Chordata; Amphibia; Anura; Hylidae. The record is from RNAcentral.